RNAcentral lists this long non-coding RNA (2834 nucleotides) under Homo sapiens (human). RNAcentral describes it as "HSALNT0380277". The record is from RNAcentral. Lineage: Eukaryota; Metazoa; Chordata; Mammalia; Primates; Hominidae.
CUGGUAACUCGUGCCUCAUAAAAUCACUUGAUGUGGGUGAGAGAGAAAGCUAAGUGUUGAUGACAGUGUGGGCCUGACCGUGCCUGAGUAAGCCCCAUGGGAACACAGCCGUGGUGGGAAGCAGCUUCCCAGCAGCCCUCCCCGCCAUCGGGAGAAUCCCCUGAGGCCAUGAGAGGGUCUCAGGGAGGUGGACGGCCCAUCAAGUGAGAACCGAGGGCACUGUGCACUCCUGAAUCCUAGGACUCCUCUUAGGUCAUUGACUAACAACAUCAACAAUGAAAUGAAUCUGAGAAAACAGGAAAUUGAGAGCAAGAGAAAAAAAAGUUAAUUAUACUGAUUUUGUAUAAGACCCCUUUGAACACAUUUUUAAAAAAUCAAAUAGAAGGUGCCCAGGUCCACUGUGCCUUGUGAAUAUUUGUCUUGUAUAUCCUAGAGAUCUACGCAUUCAUGUGGGAAUUGAAAAGGACCCACAUUUUACUAGAAGCAUCGUUCAUUUUUGCCUCAAAACAAUGCCCACAUGUCAGAAGAACUUUCACAAUUCACAGGAACAGUGACCUAAUUAACCAACCAUAAAAUUGCCAAAUCCCUACUUCUCAUUGUUUAAUAUGCUUAGAAAACCCAUUCAAAUUGUGAAUUAUCAAGUGAGCUUACACUGAUAAAUAGAUCCAAUAUUUAGGAAUUUUUAAAUCUUCCAUUCCUUUUUUUUUUUUGUCUUUUUAAAAAUAGAACAUUAGAAUAUGUCCUCCAGGUUUUAGAGAUGGGGGAGACAUGCUUCCCUUUAUUUCUCAGUAACUCAGCCAAAAAAAAUCUGGAGAGAAUGCAAAGACAGCUACUGGAAACUUUGAAAAGUAGAUGUGAGCCCAUCAGGGAAGAGCUAGAGAAUCUGAAAUCUACUCGAAAAAGUGAGUUUGAUACUUUGUGUUCCUAUCCUAACUCCACACAGCCUGAAACUUGGAAGUGAGCAUGAUGGAGUGGAUACAGUGAGAUGCAGAAGAAAUCCUCCAGUUUGGGCUGGAAGGGAAAAAAGAGACCCCUAAAACUCAGAGACAGUGGAAGAAAUUCCUGGUGUUUUUUUCUUCUCUUUUUCUCUGUUCUUCCACAUAGCAAUUUAGUAUUGACUACAGCAUCUCUGUUACAAUGAUAGCACCGAAAUGUUGUAACCAUAUGGCCUGCAAAGCCAAAAAUACUUAUCUGACCAUCUACAGGAAAAGUUUGCUGAUCUGGAUGAAAUAUUCUGAUACUAAAUAUUCCAUUUUGAGGCUGAUAUUCCUAAUCUAUUCAUAAGGAUGGCAUAUCUACCCAGUGGGCCUGCUGGGACUCCAGUUACCCGAUGCACAUACAUUGCUUGGUGUGAAUGUACAAAGAGACCAAGAAAACCUCAGUCAAACUUGGAAAUUUCCUUUGUAAUAUUCUUUUUAAAGUUAGUUAUGUGGCAGUUUCGUGUGCAUUUUUGGUGAUGAUGCUCCACGGAACAUCUGCAGAUGUGCUGUCAAUUUGGACAGCUCUGACUACCGAGUGAAUGGGAAGUACUAACGAGAACUGUCUGCUUGGGAACUCCAUGAAGUUCGUGGCUUUUGUGAUUGAAAUAGCAUCAAUAAAAGGUUGACACUGUGGAACAACACAAGCCUGCAUGGACCUGGUUAUCUCUGACCUCGCACCACUCAUGAGACCAUACCUGAGCCCUACUCCACUUUGGCAGAACUGUUGCAUGGCCUCUCUUCAUAUAAUACCUCUCCGUACACCGUACACCGCAGCUCAAAGAAAGGAUAUAUGCUCCCUGUGAAGACUAAUGGAACUGUCCCUCCUGAUCCUCCUACAGACUUCCUCUGGCCUAAUGGGUGCACCAUUGCAUUAUAUCUGCCAUCUAUACACACAUAUACCUUUCAACCCUGCACUCUCUGAGAUGACUGGACUCAUGCCUAAAUAACUGAUGCUGUCCCUAGUGUAAGGAAGCUGCCUGACGAGGAGCUGUACGGAAAUAAGAGUAAUUCAGUGAUGGGGUCCAAGCAUCCUGAAUAUAAGCGGUCCAUGUCAAGAAAGAGCCAAAGGGCGUCCUCAGGACAUGGAAGAGGGGCAUUCCAGGCUGGCAGCUGGGGAGGCCCAGAGAGCCCUGGAGAAGAUCUGAAGUCCAUUGCAGAGCUUUCUUUAAGACUACUGAAUUGUACAGAAGAAGCAGAAAUGAAAAAAAAAUUAAAAAUAUAGAAAUGAUGUAUUUUAAUGAGAUUUAAACAUCUAGGGGAGAGUUUGGGGUGGGAAUGCUGAUAAGUUCAUAGAAAAGUAAGCAAAUGAAAACAAGACAAAAAUAAUAAAAGCAAAAAGGAAAAGUAAUUGCACUGUGCUAGUAGAUUCAGCUCUGAAUAAUAUUUCAUAAUAGUAAUAUGUAAACAGUAAAUACUGAUUUAAACUAAAAUGUUAUAAUUAUACUGAGAGUAUUGAAGAUGAGGAAAUACUGUGUGUGUGUGUGUGUGUGUGUGUGUGUGUGUGUGUGUGUGUGUGUGUGGUGUAUUGAAAGCAACAGGAACAAGAGAUAAAAUCUCUUCUCAUAAUGUCAAAAACUGAAAAAAUGAAGAAGUGGCAAUAUGAUUAUCUAUCUAGAAAUAUAAAAAUAGAAACCAAAACAAACACUUCAAAAUGUCAAAGGCUCUGUUGAAGAGGAUUUGGGAAGGUGUUGGAGAGUACUUUUUCAAUAAUAAACUUUGAAAAAUUGAUUCUUUUAAAGUAUUGAGAUGCAUUACAUGAAGGAAGGUGAAAACUAAAAUAGAAAGACUUCUAAUGCCUUGCAGUGUUCCUUAGAUAAUGCUCCUGAGUGAGGUCCCAUCACUCUGCAAUUGCAC